RNAcentral lists this ribosomal RNA (279 nucleotides) under uncultured bacterium. RNAcentral's name for it is "partial 16S ribosomal RNA". It matches the Rfam family "Bacterial small subunit ribosomal RNA", at positions 506 to 784 of the family's 1533-position model. The record is from RNAcentral.
UGCCAGCCGCCGCGGUAAUACGGAGGGGGUUAGCGUUGUUCGGAAUUACUGGGCGUAAAGCGCGCGUAGGCGGAUUGGAAAGUUAGAGGUGAAAUCCCAGGGCUCAACCCUGGAACUGCCUUUAAAACUCCCAGUCUUGAGUUCGAGAGAGGUGAGUGGAAUUCCGAGUGUAGAGGUGAAAUUCGUAGAUAUUCGGAGGAACACCAGUGGCGAAGGCGGCUCACUGGCUCGAUACUGACGCUGAGGUGCGAAAGCGUGGGGAGCAAACAGGAUUAGAUA